Molecule: long non-coding RNA, 2950 nt
Organism: Eriocheir sinensis (Chinese mitten crab)
Lineage: Eukaryota; Metazoa; Arthropoda; Malacostraca; Decapoda; Varunidae
Exons: 6
Source: RefSeq, a predicted model, not a curated record
GUCAAUAAACUAUCUAUCUAUCUGUCUAUCUAUCUAUCUAUCUAUCUAUCUAAACCCAUAGAUCGUUGUGUCGUGGCGUCACGGUCCGGGUCUUCGGCAAGGCUGUUUGUUCUCUUCGGGUUCACGCUGGGCGGGUUUGCGAGGCGCUGGGCUGUGGACGCCCGGACAGGGAGUGACGGCCCAAGACGUGCUCGGAGCCUCCUGCAGACCCCCACCGAUCCCGCCCCCGCCCCGCCAGCUGCACGGAACGCAAGGUACUCGGCGGCACAGACGACGCAGAGGCUGUGUCGUCUGCGCCGUCGAGAGCCUCCACGCCUCGCGCAGAAGACGGCACAGAGACGGUGUUUGGGGGUCUUCCAGGAGGUUCUGCCCCGUAGUUGGGCGAUCACGUGUCGGGGGCGUCGACAGCCUCCGCCGCCGUCUCUACCCGACACAAGGGGAACAGCGCCGAGAAGUGGUCCCCGCAACCCCCGCCGAGUCCGAGCCCGAGGAGACAGCACCGACGAGGAGGCGGAUCACGAAACUUACGGCACAAAGAUUUAUGAAUUUAUGACCAACACACGGAGGCGGCGCGGCACCGAGUUGUGGAGAAAGGGGAUGAUCGUUGUGUCGUGGCGUCACGGUCCGGGUCUUCGGCGAGGCUGUUUGUUCUCUUCGGGUUCACGCUGGGCGGGUUUGCGAGGCGCUGGGCUGUGGACGCCCGGACAGGGAGUGACGGCCCAAGACGUGCUCGGAGCCUCCUGCAGACCCCCACCGAUCCCGCCCCCGCCCCGCCAGCUGCACGGAACGCAAGGUACUCGGCGGCACAGACGACGCAGAGGCUGUGUCGUCUGCGCCGUCGAGAGCCUCCACGCCUCGCGCAGAAGACGGCACAGAGACGGUGUUUGGGGGUCUUCCAGGAGGUUCUGCCCCGUAGUUGGGCGAUCACGUGUCGGGGGCGUCGACAGCCUCCGCCGCCGUCUCUACCCGACACAAGGGGAACAGCGCCGAGAAGUGGUCCCCGCAACCCCCGCCGAGUCCGAGCCCGAGGAGACAGCACCGACGAGGAGGCGGAUCACGAAACUUACGGCACAAAGAUUUAUGAAUUUAUGACCAACACACGGAGGCGGCGCGGCACCGAGUUGUGGAGAAAGGGGAUGAUCGUUGUGUCGUGGCGUCACGGUCCGGGUCUUCGGCGAGGCUGUUUGUUCUCUUCGGGUUCACGCUGGGCGGGUUUGCGAGGCGCUGGGCUGUGGACGCCCGGACAGGGAGUGACGGCCCAAGACGUGCUCGGAGCCUCCUGCAGACCCCCACCGAUCCCGCCCCCGCCCCGCCAGCUGCACGGAACGCAAGGUACUCGGCGGCACAGACGACGCAGAGGCUGUGUCGUCUGCGCCGUCGAGAGCCUCCACGCCUCGCGCAGAAGACGGCACAGAGACGGUGUUUGGGGGUCUUCCAGGAGGUUCUGCCCCGUAGUUGGGCGAUCACGUGUCGGGGGCGUCGACAGCCUCCGCCGCCGUCUCUACCCGACACAAGGGGAACAGCGCCGAGAAGUGGUCCCCGCAACCCCCGCCGAGUCCGAGCCCGAGGAGACAGCACCGACGAGGAGGCGGAUCACGAAACUUACGGCACAAAGAUUUAUGAAUUUAUGACCAACACACGGAGGCGGCGCGGCACCGAGUUGUGGAGAAAGGGGAUGAUCGUUGUGUCGUGGCGUCACGGUCCGGGUCUUCGGCGAGGCUGUUUGUUCUCUUCGGGUUCACGCUGGGCGGGUUUGCGAGGCGCUGGGCUGUGGACGCCCGGACAGGGAGUGACGGCCCAAGACGUGCUCGGAGCCUCCUGCAGACCCCCACCGAUCCCGCCCCCGCCCCGCCAGCUGCACGGAACGCAAGGUACUCGGCGGCACAGACGACGCAGAGGCUGUGUCGUCUGCGCCGUCGAGAGCCUCCACGCCUCGCGCAGAAGACGGCACAGAGACGGUGUUUGGGGGUCUUCCAGGAGGUUCUGCCCCGUAGUUGGGCGAUCACGUGUCGGGGGCGUCGACAGCCUCCGCCGCCGUCUCUACCCGACACAAGGGGAACAGCGCCGAGAAGUGGUCCCCGCAACCCCCGCCGAGUCCGAGCCCGAGGAGACAGCACCGACGAGGAGGCGGAUCACGAAACUUACGGCACAAAGAUUUAUGAAUUUAUGACCAACACACGGAGGCGGCGCGGCACCGAGUUGUGGAGAAAGGGGAUGAUCGUUGUGUCGUGGCGUCACGGUCCGGGUCUUCGGCGAGGCUGUUUGUUCUCUUCGGGUUCACGCUGGGCGGGUUUGCGAGGCGCUGGGCUGUGGACGCCCGGACAGGGAGUGACGGCCCAAGACGUGCUCGGAGCCUCCUGCAGACCCCCACCGAUCCCGCCCCCGCCCCGCCAGCUGCACGGAACGCAAGGUACUCGGCGGCACAGACGACGCAGGGGCUGCGUCGUCUGCGCCGUCGAGAGCCUCCACGCCUCGCGCAGAAGACGGCACAGAGACGGUGUUUGGGGGUCUUCCAGGAGGUUCUGCCCCGUAGUUGGGCGAUCACGUGUCGGGGGCGUCGACAGCCUCCGCCGCCGUCUCUACCCGACACAAGGGGAACAGCGCCGAGAAGUGGUCCCCGCAACCCCCGCCGAGUCCGAGCCCGAGGAGACAGCACCGACGAGGAGGCGGAUCACGAAACUUACGGCACAAAGAUUUAUGAAUUUAUGACCAACACACGGAGGCGGCGCGGCACCGAGUUGUGGAGAAAGGGGAUGGUUAGUUUGCCGGACCUGUGUGUGUGUGUGUGUGCCACUGCCCGCCGCGGAGGAUAAAUGGCACUGUUCCUCCUCCCUUCUUUCCCUCCUUCCCUUCCUUCCUUCCUUUUUUAUAUGGCGGAGUGUUAGAAGAUAGAGAACAUGAAAUAGAGAUGAAAUGAUGAGAGGUGUUGGCUGCACGGAUAAAUGGCACU